RNAcentral lists this non-coding RNA (76 nucleotides) under Syntrophothermus lipocalidus. RNAcentral's name for it is "Fluoride sequence". It matches the Rfam family "Fluoride riboswitch aptamer (crcB RNA motif)". RNAcentral also lists the same sequence under 1 other name. Lineage: Bacteria; Bacillati; Bacillota; Clostridia; Eubacteriales; Syntrophomonadaceae. The record is from RNAcentral.
AUUAAUAGUGGUGAUGGCGCCCACCUGAGCCUUUACAGGCUCAAACGGCUAAGUAGCUAAUGGCUCCUGUUAGAUU